GUACACUCCUACGGGAGGCAGCAGUGGGGAAUAUUGGACAAUGGGCGCAAGCCUGAUCCAGCCAUGCCGCGUGAGUGAUGAAGGCCCUAGGGUUGUAAAGCUCUUUCACCGGUGAAGAUAAUGACGGUAACCGGAGAAGAAGCCCCGGCUAACUUCGUGCCAGCAGCCGCGGUAAUACGAAGGGGGCUAGCGUUGUUCGGAUUUACUGGGCGUAAAGCGCACGUAGGCGGACUAUUAAGUCAGGGGUGAAAUCCCGGGGCUCAACCCCGGAACUGCCUUUGAUACUGGUAGUCUUGAGUUCGAGAGAGGUGAGUGGAAUUCCGAGUGUAGAGGUGAAAUUCGUAGAUAUUCGGAGGAACACCAGUGGCGAAGGCGGCUCACUGGCUCGAUACUGACGCUGAGGUGCGAAAGCGUGGGGAGCAAACAGGAUUAGAAACCCGUGUAGUCCC
Molecule: ribosomal RNA, 449 nt
Filed under: uncultured organism
Description: partial 16S ribosomal RNA
Rfam family: Bacterial small subunit ribosomal RNA
Source: RNAcentral